Molecule: long non-coding RNA, 1235 nt
Filed under: Manihot esculenta (cassava)
Lineage: Eukaryota; Viridiplantae; Streptophyta; Magnoliopsida; Malpighiales; Euphorbiaceae
Description: long non-coding RNA (MESC_LNC010554)
Source: RNAcentral
UCGUUACUCGUUACUCGUUACUCGUUACAUUGGCAUGGGAUUUUCAUCUUUAUUUAUUUUGUUUGAACUGGGCAUCGUAUGUUGAAGUGUAGAGUCCAACAUGUGUAUUAAUCAGGGAUCUGGAGUUGGGUUGUUCGUGGGUUGCAUUCAACAUACGGCAGCUGCUAUGCAAAUGGGCUUUCGAAGGUGCCUAAUGAAGCAACGCAGAGCACAGUAAUCUGCAUAUGAAUGGCCCUUUGGUGAGAGCUGUAUUCCGGGAUCCAGAUGAAGUUCCAAAUUUUUUGUUUUUGACAGGGUAUGGUGGACUCGUGAGCAUUGAUCUAUCACUUCUGACAAAGCCCAGUUGAGGCUACUAACUGUUUGUUGCUGCUGGCCCAUAUAACAAUAGAGAAGAUGAUAGGUUGUUUCUAAUUGGCAAAGCCCGCUUCGCGUGAAGGAGAUGCACAUGCAGCCAGCACACCCGUGACAUACUAACUGCCAUCACCGAGUAUGGCAAUCUGCGAAAGCUAUUGCCUAUGAGCUCUCUUUUGGACACAAGUUUGCCCCAUUUUACCUUUUUAUAUUCGUGUGAAGAAGAUGCCCAUGCAGCCAGCACUCCCGUGAACUUUGAAAUCAAGAUUCAAUAACCCGUGACACAUUAACUGCAUCCUCGCACGUGGCAAUCUGCGGAAGCUAUUGCCCAUUAGCUCUCUUUUGCCCCAUUUUACCUUUUAAUAUUCUUUUUUGGAUUAAUUCAUCUUUUGGCCGGAAUUAAUGGCAUAGCAUUCAUUCCCUUUUAAUGGAACCUAUAUUAAAACCUUUAUUCUAUUUGAUUUCCAAUACGCUACGGCUUAUUGCAGCCAAGUCGGGAAAUUUUGAAGGUGCUUAAUAAUUGGCUAGGAAUCAGGUUACAAUAAGUUAAUAAUACUUUUAAGCUUAUGAUUUGAGUUUAUCAAUUAAACAAACAAACUAAUUCUUGUCAAAUACGCUCAUAAUUUAGUAACUUCAAUAAUGAAUAUAUUUGUAAAUAAAUUUUUAUUAAAUAAUUAAUUACUUAUUGACUAAUUAUAAACAUUUAUGAGAUGCUGAAACAAACGUCCUCUUAAUUAGGCCGUGAACGCAUCUGCACAAAAUAAAUUGUCCUCCACCAAUUUAAGGCCUGCUUAGCGCCAAAUCCUAGCGUCUGAAUAUGGUGUUCUGGCUCCGAUAGCACAUUGAAAAUGAAAGCUGCCAACUGCAACUUGGGUAAUGAGGAC